ACGGACCAAGGAGUCUGACAUGUGUG
RNAcentral lists this non-coding RNA (26 nucleotides) under Arabidopsis thaliana (thale cress). The record is from RNAcentral. Lineage: Eukaryota; Viridiplantae; Streptophyta; Magnoliopsida; Brassicales; Brassicaceae. RNAcentral also lists the same sequence under 1 other name.